RNAcentral lists this long non-coding RNA (311 nucleotides) under Fragaria vesca (wild strawberry). Its description in RNAcentral is "long non-coding RNA (FVES_LNC000887)". Lineage: Eukaryota; Viridiplantae; Streptophyta; Magnoliopsida; Rosales; Rosaceae. The record is from RNAcentral.
AGGAAUUGUUUGCGGGAUAGGCCAAACCAGAGAUCCAUGUUGCAAUGUAAAUUGUUUUUGUCCAAGAGUGUUGGUUGUAGUUCUUUUGAAUGCCUACCAUCACUACCACCACCAUCUCCUCCUCAUUCGCCGCCACCACAACAUUCUACUCCACCACCGUCUUCUCCACCGCCUCCACCACUACAACCUUCUCCGCCGCCUCCAGUACACUGCGUUCGUGCUCCACCUCCACCCCCACCAAAUUCCCUGCCACCACCUCCACCAAGUCCACACUACAAUUCACCACCACCCCCGCCAUCCUCUCCACAAAC